GACAUAGGUGGCAAACGUUAUCCGGAAUUAUUGGGCGUAAAGAGCUCGUAGGCGGUUUGUCGCGUCUGCUGUGAAAUCCCGAGGCUCAACCUCGGGCCUGCAGUGGGUACGGGCAGACUGGAGUGCGGUAGGGGAGAAUGGAAUUCCUGGUGUAGCGGUGGAAUGCGUAGAUAUCGGAAGGAACAUCAGUGGCGAAAGCGGCUUCCUGGACCAGUACCGACGUUCAGGCACGAAAGCGUGGGGAGCAAACAGG
Molecule: ribosomal RNA, 253 nt
Filed under: uncultured bacterium
Lineage: Bacteria
Description: partial 16S ribosomal RNA
Rfam family: Bacterial small subunit ribosomal RNA
Source: RNAcentral